RNAcentral lists this unclassified non-coding RNA (1506 nucleotides) under Monomorium pharaonis (pharaoh ant). RNAcentral describes it as "annexin B9, transcript variant X4". The record is from RNAcentral. Lineage: Eukaryota; Metazoa; Arthropoda; Insecta; Hymenoptera; Formicidae.
AAGUCACUUUGCCGGUCUGCAAUCGAUAUGAUUCUGCGGUAUUCUGGCGAAGCGAACGUAUCCUCUUCUUAGUUAUUUAAAUCGUAAAAAGUGAUACAACAAAUUCUCAAUAAUAGUCUAGCAACAGGCGAAUGGAUGCAGGGUGUUACUCGAUGAGAUCAUCGUCGCAAACGUGAAGCGUAUCUGAAAUGAGUCAAGGACAUAAACACUCGUGUUGUCGGACCGCAUGUUUGCACGCAUUAAUUAUAAGACUAGCGAGAUGGCAGCGAGUCAGUAUUAUCAUGUACAGUGCACACCCACCGUGUAUCCAGCCGAUCCUUUCGAUCCCGAGGCAGAUGCCAGUCUCUUACGAUCCGCGAUGAAGGGUUUUGGGACCGACGAGCAGGCCAUCAUCGAUGUCUUGGCUCAUCGGGGCAUCGUGCAACGAUUGGAAAUCGCUGACAAAUUCAAAACGAUGUACGGCAAAGAUCUCAUCAAAGAACUUAAGUCAGAGUUGUCUGGUAACUUCGAGAAGGUCAUUCUAGCCUUGAUGACACCUCUUCCCGAAUAUUAUGCCAAGGAAUUGCACGACGCUAUUUCCGGCGUGGGCACCGACGAGGGUGCGCUCAUCGAAGUUCUCGCAUCCCUGAGCAACUACGGUAUCAAGACAAUAUCGGCUGUUUACAAGGAUCUGUAUGGCACAGAAUUGGAAAAUGAUCUUAAAAGCGAUACUUCUGGUUAUUUCAAGAGGCUUUUGGUGUCAUUAUCUUGCGCCAGUAGAAACGAAAGUGCUGAUGUCGACGAGGAGGCUGCACGUCAGGAUGCCGAGAGACUUCAUGCUGCGGGUGAGGGACAGUGGGGUACUGACGAGAGUACUUUCAACGCAAUCCUUGUUACUAAGAGUUAUCCACAAUUGCGAAGGAUCUUUAAGGAGUACGAGAGUAUCGCUGGACACACAUUGAAGGAUGCUAUCAAGCGAGAAUUCUCUGGUUCUGUUGAAGAUGGCUACUUAGCUGUUGUGAAAUGUGCCUCCGACAAGACUGCUUAUUUCGCGGAAAGACUAUACAAAGCUAUGCGCGGGAUGGGAACGGAUGACUCGACAUUGGUACGCAUCAUUGUGGCGCGAUCAGAAAUUGAUCUGGGUGACAUUAAGGAUACCUAUGAGAGACUUUACGGGAAAUCUCUUGCGGCAGCUAUUGACAACGACUGCAGCGACGACUUUAAGCGGCUUCUGAUCGCGCUAUUGAAUUAAUGAGCUCGGGGAGAUGUUAUUAUUGUUACUAAGAACCCAAUUAGACAUUUAACUUAACACGAAUAUUAAUAAUAAAAAAGCAUGUAAAUGAUGAUUGCGCCGCCGAAUGGAAAAGAUUACUGAUAGCAAUGUUGAAUUAAGAGUAGCUAUAAUUUGUGCGAUAAUUAUAAAAAAUAAUAUUUAAAACUUUGGAGCGUACGUGAACGUAAAAACCAUUUAUGAUACAUAAUCAUUUAAUUAAUAAUACAUAGACCUGUAGGAUUACAGAAAAAAAA